GAAGCGGGUCGGGUAACCGCCGCUCACCGUAAGGUGGGGGGAGGAAAGUCCGGGCUCCACAGGGCAGGAUGCUGGCUAACGGCCAGGCGCCGUGAGGCGACGGAAAGUGCAACAGAGAGUAGACCGCCGAUGGCCGCAGGGUGUGCAAACGCUCUGCGGAUCAGGUAAGGGUGAAACGGUGCGGUAAGAGCGCACCAGCGUUCCGGGCAACCGGGCGGCUCGGUAAACCCCAUCCGGAGCAAGACCAAGCAGCAGGCGUUGAGACGGCCCGUCGAGCCUGCGGGUAGGUUGCUUGAGCGUGUCAGUAAUGGCUCGCCUAGAGGAAUGGUUACCGCCAGAAAUGGAACAGAACCCGGCUUAAAGACCCACUUCGCAC
RNAcentral lists this RNase P RNA (376 nucleotides) under Amantichitinum ursilacus. Its description in RNAcentral is "Neisseriaceae bacterium IGB-41 Bacterial RNase P class A". It matches the Rfam family "Bacterial RNase P class A". From Rfam's summary of the family: Ribonuclease P (RNase P) is a ubiquitous endoribonuclease, found in archaea, bacteria and eukarya as well as chloroplasts and mitochondria. Its best characterised activity is the generation of mature 5'-ends of tRNAs by cleaving the 5'-leader elements of precursor-tRNAs. Cellular RNase Ps are ribonucleoproteins. The record is from Rfam by way of RNAcentral. Lineage: Bacteria; Pseudomonadati; Pseudomonadota; Betaproteobacteria; Neisseriales; Chitinibacteraceae.